This 63-nucleotide transfer RNA is filed under the name Rattus norvegicus (Norway rat). It matches the Rfam family "tRNA". Rfam says of the family: Transfer RNA (tRNA) molecules are approximately 80 nucleotides in length. The record is from Rfam by way of RNAcentral. Lineage: Eukaryota; Metazoa; Chordata; Mammalia; Rodentia; Muridae.
GGGGACUUAGCUCAGUGGUAGAGCGCUUGCCUAGCAAGCACAAGGCCCUGGAUUCGGUCCCCA